UGGCUAAAGGAGCAGAGGAAAUGGAG
RNAcentral lists this non-coding RNA (26 nucleotides) under Homo sapiens (human). The record is from RNAcentral. Lineage: Eukaryota; Metazoa; Chordata; Mammalia; Primates; Hominidae.